GAUUUCGGUGCUUCAGAUCUAAUUAAGUUUGGUCUUUGAGAGAUCUUCUUUAUACUCCGCCUUUCAACAUUAAUAAAGUAUUUGCUCCGUCUUUGUCCGUGGACGUAGGCCGUUGGCCGAGUUAUGUAAAUUUCGGUGUGGUCUUUUCUUUUCUUUUCUCUUCCUAUAUUAAGUAAUUUUCUGGAUCUAUUUUUCGUUGUUCCGAUUUUAACAAAAUUUUUUGUCCUACUCUAAUUGCUUCUCCAUAUUCUAAUUU
Molecule: long non-coding RNA, 256 nt
Filed under: Ananas comosus (pineapple)
Lineage: Eukaryota; Viridiplantae; Streptophyta; Magnoliopsida; Poales; Bromeliaceae
Description: long non-coding RNA (ACOM_LNC009887)
Source: RNAcentral